GCGGCGUGCUUAACACAUGCAAGUCGAACGAUGAUGGGAGCUUGCUCCUGGAUUAGUGGCGAACGGGUGAGUAACACGUGAGUAACCUGCCCUUAACUCUGGGAUAAGCCUGGGAAACUGGGUCUAAUACCGGAUAUGACUCCUCAUCGCAUGGUGGGGGGUGGAAAGCUUUAUUGUGGUUUUGGAUGGACUCGCGGCCUAUCAGCUUGUUGGUGAGGUAAUGGCUUACCAAGGCGACGACGGGUAGCCGGCCUGAGAGGGUGACCGGCCACACUGGGACUGAGACACGGCCCAGACUCCUACGGGAGGCAGCAGUGGGGAAUAUUGCACAAUGGGCGCAAGCCUGAUGCAGCGACGCCGCGUGAGGGAUGACGGCCUUCGGGUUGUAAACCUCUUUCAGUAGGGAAGAAGCGAAAGUGACGGUACCUGCAGAAGAAGCGCCGGCUAACUACGUGCCAGCAGCCGCGGUAAUACGUAGGGCGCAAGCGUUAUCCGGAAUUAUUGGGCGUAAAGAGCUCGUAGGCGGUUUGUCGCGUCUGCCGUGAAAGUCCGGGGCUCAACUCCGGAUCUGCGGUGGGUACGGGCAGACUAGAGUGAUGUAGGGGAGACUGGAAUUCCUGGUGUAGCGGUGAAAUGCGCAGAUAUCAGGAGGAACACCGAUGGCGAAGGCAGGUCUCUGGGCAUUAACUGACGCUGAGGAGCGA
This 704-nucleotide ribosomal RNA is filed under the name uncultured Actinomycetes bacterium. RNAcentral's name for it is "bacterial SSU rRNA". It matches the Rfam family "Bacterial small subunit ribosomal RNA", at positions 39 to 756 of the family's 1533-position model. The record is from RNAcentral. Lineage: Bacteria; Bacillati; Actinomycetota; Actinomycetes.